RNAcentral lists this ribosomal RNA (429 nucleotides) under Bacteroidota bacterium. Its description in RNAcentral is "Bacteroidetes bacterium partial 16S ribosomal RNA". It matches the Rfam family "Bacterial small subunit ribosomal RNA", at positions 355 to 776 of the family's 1533-position model. The record is from RNAcentral. Lineage: Bacteria; Pseudomonadati; Bacteroidota.
UAGGGAAUCUUCCGCAAUGGACGCAAGUCUGACGGAGCAACGCCGCGUGAGUGAAGAAGGAUUUCGGUUCGUAAAACUCUGUUGUUAGAGAAGAACAGCGCAUAGAGUAACUGUUAUGCGUGUGACGGUAUCUAACCAGAAAGCUACGGCUAACUACGUGCCAGCAGCCGCGGUAAUACGUAGGUGGCAAGCGUUGUCCGGAUUUAUUGGGCGUAAAGCGAGCGCAGGCGGUCAAUUAAGUCUGAUGUGAAAGCCCCCGGCUCAACCGGGGAGGGUCAUUGGAAACUGGUUGACUUGAGUGCAGAAGAGGAGAGUGGAAUUCCAUGUGUAGCGGUGAAAUGCGUAGAUAUAUGGAGGAACCCCAGUGGCGAAGGCGACUCUCUGGUCUGUAACUGACGAUGAGGUUCGAAAGCGUGGGUAGCAAACAGG